CCUACGGGUGGCAGCAGUGGGGAAUAUUGGACAAUGGGCGAAAGCCUGAUCCAGCCAUGCCGCGUGUGUGAAGAAGGCCUUCGGGUUGUAAAGCACUUUCAGUGGGGAAGAAAGCCUUGGGGCUAAUACCCUCGAGGAAGGACAUCACCCACAGAAGAAGCACCGGCUAACUCCGUGCCAGCAGCCGCGGUAAUACGGAGGGUGCGAGCGUUAAUCGGAAUUACUGGGCGUAAAGCGCGCGUAGGCGGUCUGAUAAGCCGGUUGUGAAAGCCCCGGGCUCAACCUGGGAACGGCAUCCGGAACUAUCAGGCUAGAGUGCAGGAGAGGAAGGUAGAAUUCCCGGUGUAGCGGUGAAAUGCGUAGAGAUCGGGAGGAAUACCAGUGGCGAAGGCGGCCUUCUGGACUGACACUGACGCUGAGGUGCGAAAGCGUGGGUAGCAAACAGGAUUAGAUACCCGAGUAGUC
Molecule: ribosomal RNA, 465 nt
Filed under: Vreelandella stevensii
Lineage: Bacteria; Pseudomonadati; Pseudomonadota; Gammaproteobacteria; Oceanospirillales; Halomonadaceae
Description: partial 16S ribosomal RNA
Rfam family: Bacterial small subunit ribosomal RNA
Source: RNAcentral